GUCACUGGCUGCACGUUCUUUUGGCGCUUGCAUUUGAGCAUAGAAGGCUGCGUUAUCUGCUUGAGUGUAAACGAAAGCUGUGCCUGAAUCCACUGUUAUCACGGAGCUAAAAGCAGUGAAUUCCGUUAAAAUGAAGCCUGUAGCAGUCCAUUUAUUCACUGAAUGGUAAUUGAAAGAAAUGAUUUGGCCUUAUUUAUAGGUCAGGUUUUGGUAAAGAGUUGGAAACAUCGUGCAGAGAUCCUUUCCACGGAGUGAUACAGAUCCACACGUUCCAGACGUUCUCCCAGAGAUUCAUAGAUUCCCAGUCCGGGUGGCUGGGUGGCGAGCCAGCCGUGUUUGUGACUCUGACUUUAGACGAACUGCCUGGAUCAUCCUCUUCAUCUUCGUUGUGGUAGGACAAAAACUAAUUCAGAGUUAAAAAAAAAGGGCCCCAACGGUGAAACUGAACUUUUGUCAACCAAGGCUAAACGAACCGAGGACGAACUGAGCUCAACGAUUUUGAUACGAGAGGGUUUUGUUUUGUUUUUGUGCGCACUUUAUUAUUUUAGUUUGUUAUUUUUCAUAAAUGUGUUUUUGCUUGUAUGUAUGUUUCACCCUGUGAAUUUAAUACAGGUUUGUCUAAACUGUCAUUCUGGUGUGGUAUUCCUUUUUAAUUGAUCUUCAAUUCUCAGGCUCUUAACAAUUUAGCGUCUUCUGAUUCUGGUCCAAAUCGUAUUUAUGAUAACCUCUAUGACUACUUUAGACUAUUAAAUCUAUGUACGUUAUUACUACCUCGUAAUAAGGGUUACACCAAC
Molecule: long non-coding RNA, 794 nt
Organism: Carassius auratus (goldfish)
Lineage: Eukaryota; Metazoa; Chordata; Actinopteri; Cypriniformes; Cyprinidae
Exons: 3
Source: RefSeq, a predicted model, not a curated record